Molecule: transfer RNA, 77 nt
Filed under: Eggerthellaceae bacterium
Lineage: Bacteria; Bacillati; Actinomycetota; Coriobacteriia; Eggerthellales; Eggerthellaceae
Description: tRNA-Asp
Rfam family: tRNA
About the family: Transfer RNA (tRNA) molecules are approximately 80 nucleotides in length. Their secondary structure includes four short double-helical elements and three loops (D, anti-codon, and T loops).
Source: RNAcentral
GGGGUGUUAGCUCAGCUGGUUAGAGCGCCGGCCUGUCACGUCGGAGGUCGCGGGUUCGAGUCCCGUACAUCCCGCCA